CGAGACCCUGCUGCGCCUCCAGCCCUUCCCGAUGGCUGGGGACAAAGCUGGACGGUGGCGGCAUGGACUCGACGGCCGAGACGGACCGGACGGGUGACCGGAGGGGACGGUGCCCCCACACCCCCCGGAGAACUGCCUCUCCCUCGGAGCCUGGGAACUCGAAAGUCAACGGAGCAAACCAGGCGGCCGCGGGCCAGAGGUCCCAGGUGCCCAGGAGCUCACUAGAUUUUCAGACUUGGCAACAGCACAGCCGCACAGACACACUCAAAGCUUUGCUCCGGCUCAAUCAUUUCGUUUUCCUUGAAAAAAUGACUGAAAAACACACCUCUGGAAAGACAAGGCUAAACACAGCGUUCUGAGUGUUGCGUGACUCAACUGACCCUCUACGCGACACGGUGAUUAAUGCCCAUGGGUGGAUGUACGAUUGGCAGAGGUUUUAAAUUCCAUGCAUACAGAUUUAAUAACUGCAAAGAAAAACAAAAGCAAAAAAUAAAAAUAAAAAACAACAAACGCUGCAUAUACACGACGUCCCUUUUGCAUUGCACUUUAGAAGGGGUCCAGCAGCACCGCCCCCCCCCCCCCCCGCCCCCCCCAGUAAACCAAGGGCAAACCCAGCAGACUCCGAGACCAAGCAUGUCACCACCUUGCGCGGCCGCCGGGCCCCGGCAACCUCCGCCUCCCAGCAGCUGCCGCGGUACCACCAUUUCAGGAUGGGCAGCCGCCUGUCUACCGGGAAGUCAUUUUUCAAGCUGGGGCAUAAGAAACCUUACACGAUUCGCAUACAGCUGAGAGUAAACGAGAUUAUUUGGAAUAACUGCAAGGAACCCAUUUUGAUAGUGGCAGAUUCGAUCGCUACGGGAAAUGUAGUUUGGGGGUAAAAAGACGAGUCAGGGUUUGCUGUACAAGAUGCUGGAAGGCACAGAACUACCCCCCGAAGUUCAGUUUUUGCAUUUUCGUUUUCGUGUGAUUCCCUUGUUCAACCAAGCACCAGAGGGGUUUCUAAACACUCAGCACUUUGGAGUGAAUGCUCUAGAAAUCAGUCUGCAGUAUCUGAAAAUAAAAACCUCAGUUAGCUGGGCGAUAAAAAGAGAAGGGAAGGUUUCUGACAAAGUGCAGUUCUAAAUAUACGUUUAAAUGAACGAACGAACAAAAAGAAAAAGAAAACGUGAAAUAAUGCUGUUUUGUUCCAAUGCUGCAGCCUCGGUCCCCAAACAGAAGGAGCAACGUGUGCCAAACAGAGAAGGGCCGCCGUGGCG
This 1256-nucleotide long non-coding RNA is filed under the name Sus scrofa (pig). RNAcentral's name for it is "lncRNA (ENSSSCG00005001272.1)". Lineage: Eukaryota; Metazoa; Chordata; Mammalia; Artiodactyla; Suidae. The record is from RNAcentral.